RNAcentral lists this long non-coding RNA (722 nucleotides) under Gopherus agassizii (Agassiz's desert tortoise). RNAcentral's name for it is "lncRNA (ENSGAGG00000025734.1)". The record is from RNAcentral. Lineage: Eukaryota; Metazoa; Chordata; Testudines; Testudinidae.
CACACAUACACAAAUAAAUAAAACAUGAUAAAGAAUGCCAAAUAUGUAGAAUACUUGUGUAAUAGUUUACAACAUGCUAAAGCCUGAAAAGAGAACAUAAUAAAAUAAUAUUCAUUAUAAUAUAAAUUAUAAUUAUUCAUUAAUUAAAAAAUCAAAGUAAAUAUUAAUCCAACUUUUAGUAGCACUUAAUUUUUUUUAAAUGGGACUCCAUAUUUCUGAGUUGGCCCUUCUUUGUGUAAAGUUAAUAACAUAAUUUGUCUGGUUUAGGGACCACUUGUAGGGAGAAUGGGAGGGAAUUGAACCCACAUAAUGACAGUAACUCCUAAGAAAAAUGUUAAGUGCCUUUUUUUCUUUUCUGAUAAAUGUCUUACAGAUACCUGUGGUCCCUCAAUGUUCCUCACACAAUAAUGCAAGUCAACUUGAUGGCUGGAAGUUCAUUCAUUUCACAUUUACCAUCUGAUUCCAGCAAGAUUUCAGAGAGGAUUCUGAGAAUUACACGAGUGGCUUCAGAAUGGUCGGAAAGGAGGACAUCCAGAAGCCCUGUGAAGAUAGAUUCAAAGACAAUAGUAGCAUCAACACCUGGCAUCCUUGCAUGGUAAAAAUAAUCCCUUGUCUGUGAAUGUGAAGUAUGGUUAAAUACCUCUGUGGGCAAGUGCAAAUUGAUUAAAUAGUUACUUAUAUUUUGUGUGCAUAUGUGUGUGCACAAGACUUUGGGAGUUGAG